RNAcentral lists this ribosomal RNA (273 nucleotides) under uncultured prokaryote. RNAcentral's name for it is "partial 16S ribosomal RNA". It matches the Rfam family "Bacterial small subunit ribosomal RNA", at positions 524 to 796 of the family's 1533-position model. The record is from RNAcentral.
UACGGAGGAUGCGAGCGUUAUCCGGAUUCAUUGGGUUUAAAGGGUGCGUAGGCGGAGUGAUAAGUCAGUGGUGAAAUCCUGCGGCUUAACCGUAGAACUGCCGUUGAUACUGUCAUUCUUGAGUACAGUUGAGGUGGGUGGAAUGUGUAAUGUAGCGGUGAAAUGCAUAGAGAUUACACAGAACGCCAAUUGCGAAGGCAGCUCACUAAGCUGUUACUGACGCUGAGGCACGAAAGCGUGGGGAUCAAACAGGAUUAGAAACCCCAGUAGUCC